RNAcentral lists this ribosomal RNA (431 nucleotides) under uncultured bacterium. RNAcentral's name for it is "bacterial SSU rRNA". It matches the Rfam family "Bacterial small subunit ribosomal RNA", at positions 958 to 1388 of the family's 1533-position model. The record is from RNAcentral.
AACGCGAAGAACCUUACCUACCCUUGACAUCCCCGGAAUCUCGCAGAGAUGUGAGAGUGCCGAAAGGAACCGGGAGACAGGUGCUGCAUGGCUGUCGUCAGCUCGUGUUGUGAGAUGUUGGGUUAAGUCCCGUAACGAGCGCAACCCUUAUCCUUAGUUGCCAACGCGUAAUGGCGGGGACUCUAAGGAGACUGCUGGUGAUAAACCGGAGGAAGGUGGGGACGACGUCAAGUCAUCAUGGCCUUUAUGGGUAGGGCUACACACGUGCUACAAUGGGGCGUACAGAGGGUUGCCAACCUGCGAAGGGGAGCCAAUCUCAGAAAGCGUCUCGUAGUCCGGAUCGAAGUCUGCAACUCGACUUCGUGAAGUCGGAAUCGCUAGUAAUCGCGAAUCAGAAUGUCGCGGUGAAUACGUUCCCGGGCCUUGUACAC